This 384-nucleotide ribosomal RNA is filed under the name uncultured bacterium. RNAcentral's name for it is "bacterial SSU rRNA". It matches the Rfam family "Bacterial small subunit ribosomal RNA", at positions 42 to 454 of the family's 1533-position model. The record is from RNAcentral.
UCAGGCCUAACACAUGCAAGUCGAGCGAGGACUUCGGUCCUAGCGGCGGACGGGUGAGUAACGCGUGGGAACGUGCCCUUUGCUUCGGAAUAGCCCCGGGAAACUGGGAGUAAUACCGGAUGAGCCCUACGGGGGAAAGAUUUAUCGGCGAAGGAUCGGCCCGCGUUGGAUUAGGUAGUUGGUGGGGUAAUGGCCUACCAAGCCGACGAUCCAUAGCUGGUUUGAGAGGAUGAUCAGCCACACUGGGACUGAGACACGGCCCAGACUCCUACGGGAGGCAGCAGUGGGGAAUCUUAGACAAUGGGGGAAACCCUGAUCUAGCCAUGCCGCGUGAGCGAAGAGAGGCCUUAGGGUUGUAAAGCUCUUCAGCUGGGAAGAUAAUGA